This 375-nucleotide long non-coding RNA is filed under the name Medicago truncatula (barrel medic). RNAcentral's name for it is "lncRNA gene30057". Lineage: Eukaryota; Viridiplantae; Streptophyta; Magnoliopsida; Fabales; Fabaceae. The record is from RNAcentral.
AUGCAAGUCUAUGACUGUUUGUUAAUUGUGAGCCUUUCUUGUAUCUCCUUGAUACUUGCUAAGGACUGUUUAUUGAGUUGUAACUCGUGUGCUACACCAAAGCUUUGAAGCAAGGUUGUAGUUUUGUUUGAAGGUAACUUCAUCAUUUUGUGUUUAAUCUGAGAAUCACAGGGGUUGUGAUUGAUUGUAGGAUAAUGAGAUGGGAUCUCAGAUCUAGGAGUUCCUAGGUUGAAGUGUAGACGGGUAGGUCCUAGGUUUUAAGUUGUAAACGAGGAGUUUGCUGAGAACUUUAGAAUAAGGACUACACUAGUGGAUUUCCUUCCUGACUUGGUAGCCCCCAGAGUAGGUGUGUUUGUCACCGAACUAGGUUAACAA